RNAcentral lists this ribosomal RNA (497 nucleotides) under uncultured bacterium. Its description in RNAcentral is "partial 16S ribosomal RNA". It matches the Rfam family "Bacterial small subunit ribosomal RNA", at positions 28 to 507 of the family's 1533-position model. The record is from RNAcentral.
GAUGAACGCUGGCGGCGUGCCUAAUACAUGCAAGUCGAGCGAACAGACGAGGAGCUUGCUCCUCUGACGUUAGCGGCGGACGGGUGAGUAACACGUGGAUAACCUACCUAUAAGACUGGGAUAACUUCGGGAAACCGGAGCUAAUACCGGAUAAUAUAUUGAACCGCAUGGUUCAAUAGUGAAAGUCGGUUUUGCUGUCACUUAUAGAUGGAUCCGCGCCGCAUUAGCUAGUUGGUAAGGUAACGGCUUACCAAGGCGACGAUGCGUAGCAGACCUGAGAGGGUGAUCGGCCACACUGGAACUUAGACACGGUCCAGACUCCUACGGGAGGCAGCAGUAGGGAAUCUUCCGCAAUGGGCGAAAGCCUGACGGAGCAACGCCGCGUGAGUGAUGAAGGUCUUCGGAUCGUAAAACUCUGUUAUUAGGGAAGAACAAAUGUGUAAGUAACUAUGCACGUCUUGACGGUACCUAAUCAGAAAGCCACGGCUAACUACGUG